UUGCUUUCUUUAUUUUACUUUUAUUUAUAGUCAUUAUUAAACCCUCGGGCAUCGAUGUUCAUCAUCGACGUUUUCCUUCCCUCUCUCCAUCUCUCGUCAAUCUUUCUGCAACUUCGCUCCUGCAACGAUUUUUCUCAUCUCUUGGCUUACUACAGAUGGAAUUCGAACAAAGACUUCGACGAUGGAUUCUAAAUCAUAAUGUCUUCUAUUGCAAGGUCUCUUGCUGCAUGGUGGUGCUUGCACGGGAAUUUAGGUUUCAAAAUGAAUUUCUUGGUGCCUUAUUGUGCAGAAUGAAAGAUCAUGCUGGAUAAGAAGACUUCAGCCUAAGGAGAAGAAUUUACCCCAACUUAGUAGCUCUUGCUGGUGUGUCAUAGUUCUGCUGCUGUGGCUGGCUUAGUUGGAGAUGAACAGGAGAUGGUGGCUCUUAAUAUUAUAUUCAAGGGCUGAUUUUGAAGGCUCAGAAUAUAGUAAAUGAUCCAAAGAGAACUAGCAACUGACAGUCCACUGAUGGAGAAAAUCUGCAGAACAUAAUCAAUAAUUUUCUUGUGAGGUAUAGAACAGCACAUGAAGCAGUCGGGGAAUGUGGAUGUUGUCGUUUACCGCUAAUUCCGUAACAUAGCCUGCGAUGAUUUGGCAUUUCCUGAGUUGUGCUUGAUUUGGAGGCAACUAGAUCUGUGGGAAGAUUGAAGGACAUUGGAAGAUUUCCUGUGCUAUAUCAAGAACUAGAAACUUGUGGAAUUGUACAGUGCUUUUGGGCUGCAUGUCUUACCAUGAGCCAUAUGUUUGUAUGCUUGGUAGAAAAUCUGGUUGGUCUUUAGUUUUUGUAGUUGGUACAACUGAGGAGUUGUUAUAAGGGGCCCGAGUUCCUCACUGUAGAUCUUGGAUACCAGUAGAUGGAUUAGUGCCCUGUAGCAUGCUUUGAAGGCUUGGGAUGCUACCAUGCAGUUUCUUGGUUGUUAUUGAACUUUUGAUGAAGCUCUUUGAUAUGUAAAAAGGCUCCAAAUGUUAUUUCAAAGUUCAGAAUCAUGAAUUGUUUUAAGGAUUCAGACUUCAUUGGGAUGGGUUCUCCAAAUCUGUUGGCAGAAAUUUUUAGACAUUUGGCAGAUUGGCUGGCCAUGACUAGUUUCUGUGACUGAAACUUAUCUAGAAUGGAUUUUCAUUUCAAAAUUUGGCUCAUAUAGAAAGCAAGUAUGUUUCCAUCUCUGUGGGCGUGAAAUGGUGGUGCUUUGGCAAAUUGCAUGGUCAAUAUUUUUCUUGUAGAGGGCAGUAACGAAAGGAGGAGGUUCUGCAAUGGUAGUUUGUUACUCUUGAGCUUACUCUUGGGGGGUGUACAAUCUUUUACUCCUCGUGAACUGAGGUUUUCUGACAACAACUGCUGUUGUUAAGUGUCUGGUGAUUUGGGCUUGGGGAAGAAGAAAGUUAUAGUUCUUAAAGCUAUUGACUCUUCCUGAGCUCCAAUCAACAUUUCGUUUUCUAUCAUUUCAAGAUGGACCACUGAUUAAGCAGAUAGACUUGGACUUAGGCUUCAGACAGUCCUUUUGUAUCCUGAACUGUAUAAUUGUCAUGGCAUCUAGGCAACCAAGGCGUUGGAGGGGGGGCCUGUACAUCAAAGUGACACCAACAAGGCACCUACGAAAAACCUUGAGAACUAUGAUGGACUGCAUCUUCCUCCUCGGUAUUUGUUCUAUCAUGUUUCUGUUGUUUCUAUAGCUACAUUUGUUUUAGGAAUUUCUGUUACUGAAAAAAAAAAUAAAAAAUAGAUAGUCUAGGAUGUCCAUGGACAUGUUUUAAUAGGAUAUCAGAACUAAGUUGAUCUAGAAAAUCUAGAACACCGUAUUGGGAGACAAUGUAGUUGUAGUCUAUUGUCGAUUUUCUAAGAAAUUUUAGUCCAUGGACAUGUUUUAAUAGGAUAUCUUAACAAAGCAGAUCUAGAAAAUCUAGAACACCAUACUGAGAGAUGAGUGUAUUCAAUGUAGUUAUAGUCUAUUGUCGAUUUUCUAAGAAAUUUUUAGUCCAUGCACAUGUUUUAAUAGGAUAUCUGAAGCCAAUAUAGAACAUCUAGAACACUGUACUGAGAGGCGAGUGUAAUCAAUGUAUAAUAGUCUAUUGUUGAUUUUCUAAGAAACUUUAAAAUUUAUGGACAAAUUGGUACAAUAUUUUGGUUGGUUCUACCUAAAUCUACUUAAACAUAGCAAAAAAAGAAGCAAAACAAACUUAAUUCUUUUAUCUUGCCAUCCAUCUGCUUAUAAAAAAUACCACUAGAACACUACAGAAGGGGUGGCAGUAACUUGAGCAAUCAUGACAUGAGAAUAUGAGAUAAAACAUUCAAUUUUGUGGAAGCAUCAACACAGUUGGCUUUUUUGCGAGGACGAACAACAUUAAAUGGAAAUGAUGACACUAGUUGUCAUGAUGAUUCUUAUAGAAAUUAAGAAUUAAAUGGAACGGAGAAAUCAAAUGGAGACACUUAUCUGGCUGCAAGGACUUUGCAUUUGUAAGCUAAAGGAGAUGAUCAACAUGAGGAUGCCAUAAUUCAUGACAAGGUGGAUAUGGAAGAAUGGUAAAUCAAGAUUGUGAAAUCUAGUGGGAAAGUGGAGUUGUGCUUCAAAUUUUGGAAACUUAAGUAUUGCCAGCUAGAAGAAGCUUUGUUUCGAAAGUGAAAUAGGUAUUGUAGAUACGUAUCUUAAGUAUCGGUGAGUAUUGAUGAGUAUCAACUGCGUAUCGGUGUAGGUUCAAUACGGUUCAAUACGAACUGAUGCACACGUAAUUCAAUUGUCUAGGGCUCAAUUGUACAUAUCAAGAGUAUCGGUACGAAUUGAUGAGUAUCGGAGAGUAUCGUACGAUAUGGUACAAUACACUUCGAUACUCAAUACAUAGUUUAAAAGAAAAUACAUGUAUCGUGUUGGUGUGUAUCGUGUAAGUGCUGACCGAUACGUAUGGACCGAUAUGGUAUAAUACACACCGAUGCUUUAAACCAUGGUAAGAGGUUGUAUAGGAAAUUCUUCAUUGGAAUAGAGGACAUUAUGAGAUUGAGAGAUGCUUUUGGGGUGAAUCAUUGAAAAAGGUCAUCAUUAUACCGUUGAGUUGGAUUUUAGGUCAAAAUCUAUAGUCUUUUGAUUUGUAAAACCUUAUGCAUAAACUCUAUGAUUUAUUGCAGUUUGCAUCGUAAAUAGUGACACUUCACAUGGCUCACAUUUUGGAAGUUAUUUACUGUCCCAAUAAAAAAAAAUUUAAGCAUAAAUGGGAAUACAUAAAUAAAAUUUCUGUGCGAUGCAUUCUAUACUGUAGGAAUUGCUGCAAAUAAAACUUGGAAGUUGCAAGAAAUACCUUGACUUCUGAAGUUGGAUUCAGCAGUUGGUGUUGCUCUUCCUUUGCUUUAUUGUAUCGAUCAAUUAUUGAUUUCAUGCUGGUAGCAGUACAUGGAGACGCAGUCAGCUUUAUGCCCCUUACAUUGGUAAACAUUUCAAUAGAUUGGAUUAGCAAAAUGUUGUAUAAGAAGGAUAAAUAAGUUACACAAAUGCAUAUUAAAUUAACGAUUAUCGUAGUCUCUCCCCUCUUCACUGGCCUCUGUAUUGAUCUCUUACUAAAUGUUUUUGAAACUGGAACUUGACAGUUUAAGUUGCCUCCUGAAGUAAAAGUAGAUUAUUGAGAUUGUCAGAAUUGAUGACAAGCCUACCUCAUUACCUGAUGCCACUCAUCACUUGUUUAGUGAUGUAUGCCAUGAUUUUUCUGAAAGUUGGGCCAAGUGUCUCCAAUAUUCAUGAUUUGAUGGCUAGGAAUGGUGUUCUCUCUUUAACUCCUAAAACUAUAAAAGGCAAUGGGCAUUUGUUGACCUUUUGUAAUUUGAAAUUGAAUCUCAGUUGUUACUAGGAGUGAGGAGAUUCUCUAUUCGACCACUAGCUCUUGUGGGGAACUCGUUGACAUAUGCUGUUUUACUGAUUCUCAUACAGUUGUUUCUUUUGUAUGUAUGUGUUUUGGAUGGCUCUUUUAUAUCUUUGUGAUAUGUUUAACAAAUUCUGAACAUUUCAACUAGACAGCCAUGCUGCAGAAAUAGAACACAAUUUGGUGGGAUAUCCACUCGAGUGAGUGUGUAGAGUGUGAAUUCAUAGCAUGGCUGUACCCAAAUUCUAGUUUUCAAUUAUGCUUCACAUCUUUACCCCUUAAAAGAGAAAGGAUGGCGUUAAUGUUUCGAAGAUUGGAGAGAUUCGCCAGCUUGUCAAGAAAUGGACAGCAUAAUCUAGGGUCAAACAUGACACUUUUGUUGCACCAAAUUAGUUAAAUCUCUCUCUCUCUCUCUCUCUAUAUAUAUAUAUAUAUAUAUAUCGAGUAACUCCUCUCUUAGGCAUCUGACUGGUACUCAUUACCCUGAUCUCCAUCUGGCUUACUUAUCCAAUCCAGUGCAGCCAUACUGUUACUCAGUUGUUGUGUGUUAACAGGAAAAGUAUUCAAGGCUUUUUUUGGGCACCUAUGUGAUGUAAUCACUGAUGCAGUUCCUUCAACUUUGUGACUGGCAUGUUUUCGGGUUUCAGAAAAAAAAAAAAGAGGACAAUUUCUUCGAGAUACCUCAGGAGUUAGCUCUUACCCAGCUUGAGUUUACCUCUUACAUACCUCCAGUGGUCAGCAAAGUAAAGUGAAACACAACAUCAAAAGGGAGGCGUUUAGGAAAGUGAAGGAAGGAGUUUCCGGUUUUUGCUGGUUAAGUGCUGGAACUGAAAGCACAAGGAGAUCCAACAAAGGAGGAAUCAAAGCGCUUUUAACGCAGCGGAACUAAGAAAGUACAAGAAAUGGAGGAAAAGGAGAAAAAUAAAAAAGUAUUCCGAUUCUGAAUGGAGCAUAUCAACCCGUUCUUGAAGUUCUCACCUACACAAUGGGGACAAGCUCACAUUGAUUUUAUGGUAAAGAGGUGGGGGAAUUUUGGUGUCGGCUUUCAGUUGGAAAAAAAGUUACUGAAUAUCCUAAAUUGGUGACUGGUUUCAUUACUGGUCUCUGGUUCUGUGAGCUUUUGAGAGUCAAGAAGCAAUUUCUGGCGCGGCUAUGCAUGUAAGGAACAUACUGGGUUUCGAUCAAGAUGUUGGAAGAAGGUUUAUGAUAGUCACGGAGGUCAAGUGAAGAUAGAAGUCCAUUCAGAGAAGAAAAUACAGCUGUUUUUUACUACUUGUCGGAUCAGGUGGUGGGGGUCAGUAUGGGCCCGCGGGAUUAGUCAGGCCAAAGUCCUGGAUACUCAUCGUUAGCAAAAAAAAAAGAAAAGGGUGAUGGGGGUGGCUUAAGUUAAAAAUGAAUUCUUUUUCAGCUAUUCUUGGUGUGGUAUCCUACGCCACACCUGUUUCAUCCCGAUUUCCAGUGACUCCGAAAUGAAGAUGACGAAACUGCAGAGUUACCAGCAAUGGGUCAGUAACGAAUCGAAUCGGCAGUGUUUGGGUUUUGACAGUAUGGAUGUUUCCGCAACGAUAGCACUCCUUACAUUGUUCUCAAGAUGGCUGAUGGAAGCUGAUGAGGUGGACCAAUGCCUGAUGGCUGGCAUGUUAAGGCCUGCUUGUGACCAUCCUCAAAAGUUUUCCCCUCUACAUGGAGGGUUAUAAUCCGGAUGCACCCCUCAGCCACUUGUAUCAUUAAUGAGACUCAGAACCAGUUCUACCGCAAGCUGGGCGGGCACAAGUUGAACAGUAUUUGCAACCUGGACUACAAGAGAACCGGUCUAAUUUUAUCCCCACAAAUUUUAGCCCUUCCGAUCCCCACUUGCUUUCUUAGAACCCAACAUGUGCUGUUAAAUGUGGAGGAUGAUUGAAUUGACUUGUCUUUGGCCCCUGAUCCCAGAUUGAGCACAAUAAAGUAGCACUAAAGUUUCCCCAGUCUACCAGGCAGAUCUCAGACACAAUGACCUUCAAGCCUUGGGGAUGAAACUACAAAUCUUGACAUUCAAACUCUGGAGUUGAGUUUUUCCUUUGAGCAUCUGAGUAGACAGGAAAAGGCAUGAUUGUAUUCACCAAGUUGUGCGGGAGGGAUAAACAUAGUGAAGAGAAUGGGUGAAAGAAUUAUAAAAGGCUUUGAAGAGAGCCUCAGAGCAUUCCAAUAUGGUGUCUAAUGAUGGCUUCUUGUUGAAGAUUUUCCGGCCUGAUAAUCUGAAUCUUGGGAAAAAUAAGUGGUUGCUGGAAUUGAUGGGGAUAUAAGACAUGUUCACAAUGAUCCUGGAAGCUUGGGGGAAAAAAAACUAGCUGAUCAGUCUCAAAAUGGGAUUUUGUGAUCAUGUUAAUACCAUAACUUAGACCAUCACACUCAGAUAACCUUUUCCCAGUUGCUUUUCCUAGCUGAAUCUGGCGAUGAGAUCACCAUUAUGUUUGAUGAUGAUAUUUUCGUUCAUUCACAAAUUCCCAAUAUUGUGACGGUGUUUAUUGUGAGAUAUUGGAAUCUUCUAAAUGCAUCUUAAAGCCCGUUUGCAAUGUUUGGAGGAACGAAAAUGCGUAGUUGAUCACGAGAGCAAUUUGCUAAAUAUUUUUCAUUUAUGAUAGACGUUUGCUUUGAAAGGGUUGGUUGGUAAAGUAUGAGAAUCGAAGGAGGCAACCCAAAUGGUGUUCCCCUAAUAGAGUUGAAAAGGUUGUGGCAAGGAUUGACAGAGGGCGAGGUGAUGCUUAUUAUAGGUGGAGUAAAAACGGACUCCAGUUGGAUGAGGGUGUUAGACAUAUUGAAUUUUGUUAUUCCCCACAUGUUUUAAGACGGGGAUGGGGUUAUUGUUGCUUCAUGGUAUGAUUUUGUUCAAGUUAUAGACAAAGAUCACAAGCACAUGUUAAAAAGGUUCUUGGUGCAAUUGUUCUAUAAAACUCAAGGAUGAGUUUUUCUCAAUAUAAGGAAAUUUGAUGUAGUUGCAUUAGACAUUAAAUCUCGUAUAGAGGCCUAUGCGGAAGUUUGGGAGAACUCAUAUGGU
Molecule: long non-coding RNA, 6916 nt
Organism: Macadamia integrifolia
Lineage: Eukaryota; Viridiplantae; Streptophyta; Magnoliopsida; Proteales; Proteaceae
Exons: 7
Source: RefSeq, a predicted model, not a curated record